This 696-nucleotide long non-coding RNA is filed under the name Bos indicus x Bos taurus (hybrid cattle). RNAcentral describes it as "lncRNA (ENSBIXG00005018752.1)". The record is from RNAcentral. Lineage: Eukaryota; Metazoa; Chordata; Mammalia; Artiodactyla; Bovidae.
CUAUUAUCAGUGUUACACUUAAGAAUCCUUUGCCUAAUCCAAGGUCACAAAUAUUUCUUCUGUGUUUUCUCCUAGGAGUUUACAUUCUAAUUUUAGCUCUUGGGUUUUGGUUUAUUGACCAUUUUAAGUUAAUGUUUGUGAAUGCUGUGUCUGGCCCUUCAUUCCUUUUUUGGGUACAGGGGUAUCUAACUGUCCCAGCACCAUCUUUAAAAUAAAAUAUUUAUUUUUAAUUGGAAGAUCAUUGCUUUACGGGGCUGUGUUGGAUUCUGUGAGCCCACAGUGAAUCAGCUGCCCGUGUCCGUGUGCCCCCAGGCUGUUACUGCGCCCUGGGCAGGAGCUGCCGGAGACCCUGUGUCCUGCCUGGACCCCCAUCUGUCUGUGUGUCCUGGAAUGAGGAGGUGAUGCCCAUGACCCUCACGGGGAGGAAUCCACCCACCUGGGCUCCGCAGACGGUGCAGCUCACCGGCGGGCCCUGAGCUGAAGGAUCGGCUGGACCGAUGGGGAAGCAGGCCGAGGCCCCGGCCGGACACGGGCGGACGGAGUGAGGCUGCCAGCCGUGAGGGAGGCGCUCCCCUCGCAGCACGUGGGCCGCGUGGCCAUGUGCCUGGGACGGUCCUGAGCAGACGGGCGUCCUCCCCUCCCGCGCACCCCACCGCCCAGGCCCCCACCCCGCGCCCUGGGCAGGCUGAGCGGGCA